Sardina pilchardus (European sardine) is the source of this 1027-nucleotide long non-coding RNA. RefSeq lists it as uncharacterized. The transcript has 3 exons. Lineage: Eukaryota; Metazoa; Chordata; Actinopteri; Clupeiformes; Clupeidae. The record is from RefSeq and is a predicted model, not a curated record.
AACAAAGUUCCUCCACUUGCUAGCCACAAACUUCCUGUUUUCAUGCCUCGCCUCUGAAUCUGAUUGGAUGUGACCAACAUAGACAUAGAACGCGUUCUAUGGUGACCAAUGCCUGUAAUGCCAAUGCCAAGAUGUGUGCCUAUGACUGUUUCACUUGCUUCAGUUCAACGUCGUUUAUUUUUUAAAUAGUAGUGUUCUUCUUUUAUUUAGGUAUUUAUCGAGAAAUAAUAUCCUGAGCUGCGCGAUUUCGCAAAUCCGACAUCUGCCAAACAGACUCUGGCACAGGCUGCAUGGGUGUCUACUGGCCUGUAUUCCUUCCUGUGACUGUGGGUAGUUCACAUCCUCCAGGCUGACCCCACUGACCCCUGAUGUUACACUGCCAAGCAGUGACCAUGUCGAAGCAGAUGGCUUCAGGGACUGCAAGAAGGAUUGACAGCAGCCAGAUGGAGAGGAUCUCGAUGGCCGUGAAGAGAGGGAUGCCCACCCCCUGCACCCUGCUCCACGACGCCACAGCCCUGUACCUAGAGCAGGAGCACAGGGACAACAAUUACGGUGGGAGAGCACACGUCCAUACUCCAUAAGCAUGAUGCAUUUAAGGGUGCCUUGCCAGACACAGCGUACCAAAUCCCCCUGGUGAAAAACUGAAAAGAGCAAGUACUUGCCCUGUAGAUCAGAAGGACAGUAGUUUUUAAACAGAUAAAAUACUGAAGGACUUAAUUGCUUAUUUGUAAAUAACAAAGGAGAUAAAUUAGAGAUUCAGCAGAAAGGGCAAGGAUGAUCCAAGACUCAUGGAAAGUCACAUUGUGUUCUCCCGUGCUGUAAUAUUUAUGUUGCAAAAUACUCACUGACAGAACUAAUGUUUAUUGCUGGGAAGAAGCCAUUGAGCUUGCUUGCCAAACACACUUCUUGUUUCCUGUUGCUGGAAAUCAUGUUUGCCUGUUUGUAUCAUUAAUAACAUCUCUCAAGUGAAUGUUUUAGUAUAAUGCUGCAUCAAGAUUUCAUGUGGAAAUAUAUAUUUUUCAUGACA